UGGGGCCUAUGGGGCGCUAUGGGUCUCUAUGGGGCUCCAUGGGGCACUAUGGGGUACUGUCGGACUCUAUGGGGCACUAUGAGGCUCUAUGGGGCACUAUGGGGCUCUAUGGGGCACUGGUGGGCUCUAUGGGGCUCUAUGGGGUAUCUAUGGGGUUCUAUGGGGCUCUAUGGGUCUCUAUGGGGCUCUAUAGGUCUCUAUGGGUCUCUAUGGGGCUCUAUGGGUCUCUAUGGGGCUCUAUAGGUCUCUAUGGGUCUCUAUGGGGCUCUAUGGGUCUCUGUGGGGAUCUGUGGGGCUCUAUGGGGUCUCUAUGGGGCACUGUGGGGCUCUAUGGGGCUCUAUGGGGCACUGUGGGGCUCUAUGGGGUAUCUAUGGGUCUCUAUGGGGCUCUAUGGGUCGCUAUGGGUCUCUAUGGGUCUCUAUGGGGCUCUAUGGGUCGCUAUGGGUCGCUAUGGGGAAAUUGCUAAUUAAUGACGCUUGGUGGGUAAUAAUCAAUGGUAGCAGAUGAGUAAUUAACGACAGCGGAUGGGUAAUUGGUGACGCUGGCUGGCUCAUUAUGGUGCUAAACGGGGAAUUAAUGAGGGCAGAUGGCUAAUUAAUGAGGGCAGAUGGCUAAUUAAUGACGGCAGAUGGCUAAUUAAUGACGGUGGGCAGGUAAUUAAUGACGGUAACAGAGUAAUUAAUGACGGUAACAGAGUAAUUAAUGACGUUGAAUGGCUAAUUUAGGACCUUGAAUGUGUAAUUACUGUCGCUAAAUGGUAAUUAAUUGGUAAUUGAAUGGUAAUUAAUGUCUGCGGAUGGGUAAUUAGUGAGAGCGGAUGGGUCACUAAUGACAGUUGAUGGCUCGUUAACGAAGCUGGAUGGGUAAUUAGUGACUUUAAUUGGGUCAUUGAUGACUCUGAAGGGUCAUUAAUGACCCUAAUUGGCUAAUUGAUGACGUGAGGUGGGGAAUUAAUGAGGUUGGGUGGGUAAUUAAUGGCAAUAAGCGGCUAAUUAAUGGCUCGAAAUGGCUACUUAACGACCCGCAACAAGUAAUUAAUGAGUAAUAAAUGACACGAAACGGGUAAUUAAUGACUCCGG
Molecule: long non-coding RNA, 1080 nt
Filed under: Numida meleagris (helmeted guineafowl)
Lineage: Eukaryota; Metazoa; Chordata; Aves; Galliformes; Numididae
Description: lncRNA (ENSNMEG00000002868.1)
Source: RNAcentral